RNAcentral lists this long non-coding RNA (362 nucleotides) under Lathyrus oleraceus (garden pea). RNAcentral's name for it is "Pisum sativum (pea) long non-coding RNA (PSAT_LNC002649)". Lineage: Eukaryota; Viridiplantae; Streptophyta; Magnoliopsida; Fabales; Fabaceae. The record is from RNAcentral.
AUUUUUUCAAAAUGCUUCUUUGAUUUUUCUUUUUCCCUCCUAUGUCAUAUCCAUGCUUCACAUGCUUAUUUUUUAUUUUUUAUUCAACUUGCGAAAUUCAUAUUAAAUUGAAAAAUGAUCCAAAAAAUAUGAGGAUUUUUGCAUUAGGUCACAUUUUGUGUCUAGCAUUUUAUGGACAUUUUUCCCUAAAUUGUGCUUGGCUGGAUUUUGUUUUGCCCUAGGGUUCUUGUACAUGUAUCAUGUUUUGACCUUGCCUUGCUUCUUCAUUUGUGAAAUGCUCAAUUUUAAUCCAAUGCUCAUGAAAUUUUACAUGUAGAAACUAGACAUCUUGCUUGAAAUUUUGGUGUUGAGUUUGCAUUUUU